UCUCCAAAAAGAAAGUGUCUUCCUUUCAUCCUUAAAACUCUGCGAGCUGCAACCUACGCCUUGGCUGUCACAGGAGUAGCAGCAGUAGAACCACCACCUAAAAUACUUUCUUCAAAGCAUUUCAAAGUGCUUCAUACAACUCAUCAUUGGGUAGCAACACUGGACUGGUGUAUGAAACAUCACCACCAAAACAUUUGUAACUAAGCCAUAGUUUGGGAAUCAAUCAAAGUAGCCUGCUAUAAAGGCUUCCCAUUGUGAAUAUCAUUGCUAGUAAGUAAUCGACUCAACCAGAAGAACUUUGGGAGCAUCUGGUUCCUGCAUGAAGGGAUUCCAAUCAAUUAUGAGAUAGAAAUUGUGCCAAAUUUGAAAACACUGAUAACAACUGAACAAGCAAAGUCAAAUACAAAAUUAACUAAUUGGUGAUUUAUCAUCACAACGAGUGUUUGCUAAUCAGUCCACGUGUAGCUGUCCAAGUUUUUCUCCGAAUAGUGUAAAAUUGUGACGAAGCAAAUGGACACAUAAUCAGUACAUGUAAAAGCUAAAAGAAGCAAAAGAUAUUCAUAAACACAGUGCUAGAUGAACUAAAAGGACCUUAAAUACAACUACAAAGAAACAUCAUGGCAAGUGCAGUUUGCCGUUGGAAAAUCUUUUAGAUGCAUGAUGCUUCGGCAGAUGAAAAGCAUAUAUGACGCAUUACUGUCAACUCAAUCAUUCUGCUCUAGUUAAAAGUAUAAUGGUCACAUAUAUCUACUUUCUGAUAAUCACAAAUGUGCAAAUUUGGAGUAAAAUCAAAAUAGAACUACUCCCUCCGUUCCAAAAUAGAUGACCCAACUUUAUACUAACUUUGUACUAAAGUUUGUAUAAAGUUGGGUCAUCUAUUUUGGAACGGAUGGAGUAUAUGGAAAUGGCUGUAUUUUAGGAGUUCAUGUAUGGAAAUAGCGUAGAAAAUAUAAGCAAAGAUAAAUAUACACCUUCCUUGUCUCCCGAACCUGCAUAGUUCACACAAUAGCCCAUUAACUUUGGUAUGUUAAACCAUCAUGUUGCACGUCUAUGGCAUGGAGUAAAAUCUUGUACCUGCAAGAAUGGUCCACUCGUUAUCAAGAUUAUGCGUUUAUUUCAUGCUUUUAUAAUAGAAUUACCUGGGAAGCGGCUUAGGAGUGGAACACAUGGGGCAUCUAUAUAAAUCAUUUUCCUUUCUUAACUUCUUCCAACCUUUUUUGCAGCUAAUAUACCACAAGUCUUCACCUGAGACCACUUCAGUGGCCUAGAGUCAAGAACUAUCACCCAACUCGGUAACUGUUCAUGGACUAAAACAAAAUACACUAUAUGCAUAAGUCCGGUUCCUUAUUUCAGCACUAAUCAAACAGAAGAACAUCUACUGAACUUCCUACUAUCCAUACAUGAAUAUAGCUACUUCUUGCGAAACAAAAAUGAAUCAACGGACUGCUCUAUAUUUGGGAAGCAACCAAAUCUAAAAAGUAUCUAUGAACAGAUCACAAACACAUAGUUUCAGUAUUGAAACAAGUACCAGAAGAACUCUAGUUCUCUAGAUUGAGGUAUACUUGGAGGUGCAUCUGAAACUCGCCGGCUUACAGUGUAGCUCAAGGCAAAUCGAAAUGUACACGUGUUGUUUUUAUAGCACUCAGAAUCAGACAAGAUAAUCUCAUACUACACGCAGACUGCUGUAUUACUCACUCUCCGACCAACAUCUCCAGGAAAUCUCAGUGUAUUUGAGAAACCACUCUCUUCUUUCAAACUGGACAUAGAGAAACAGGACUGCUUCCUUUCUAAAUCUUAGACCAUUCCUAAUCAAAAUCGUAAAUAAUUUCCUAACCAAAUCCCUAAAGCAUGAAUCUACCAUUGAAUUCAGCCUACACAAGCCCCACACACGCGCGCGCACAGAGAGAGAGAGAUGGGAGGUGCAGAGAAGGCUGUGGAGGAUGGAGUUGAUCUCACCUGAGAGGACCGGCAGCCAGCUCAAAGGUCCACUUCUCGCCGCCAUCCCGGCGUUCCCAUCACAACCCUCACCCUGUUGCCGUGCGCGACGAAGAGGGAUGCAGAUUGAGGAGGCGGAGCUCAGUCGGCGGCUGCAUGUGAUGAAGGGGACGGAGGCAGCAGCGCUCGGACCACCACCGAUGCAGCCCUCUUCUGCCACUUUGCGCGUGUGUCUCUCCCGCUUCAGAUCUGGACCUUAGGGAGGAAGAAUAGACGGCGUGGUGGCGCGGGGAGAGAAGNN
Molecule: long non-coding RNA, 2236 nt
Filed under: Triticum aestivum (bread wheat)
Lineage: Eukaryota; Viridiplantae; Streptophyta; Magnoliopsida; Poales; Poaceae
Description: long non-coding RNA (TAES_LNC015627)
Source: RNAcentral